AAAAAAAUUAAUGAGCAUGUAACUAAUUGUAAGUUCAAUUUCAAAUGCAUUUCUACAAAUACAACUUCAAAUAUACCCAGCACGGAGAACAAAUCGAUUCAGCACAUCAAUCACCGAUAUGCAAUGAGCAACUGGAAGAAACAGAAAAGAAUUUACCAACCAGGCAAGGUUGCAAAACCAUAAAUGCAGAUCGCUUUCAAUAACUUCAUGCAGCCUGAAUAUAUAUUCUUGCAUUUAUUUAUUUCAAAAAAUGUCAUUUUUCCCCAUUUGUUAUCUGUUAGUAUUUAGUAACAGUACUUUUUUUUUUUUUUCUGUUAG
This 318-nucleotide unclassified non-coding RNA is filed under the name Hevea brasiliensis (rubber tree). Lineage: Eukaryota; Viridiplantae; Streptophyta; Magnoliopsida; Malpighiales; Euphorbiaceae. The record is from RNAcentral.